This 46-nucleotide non-coding RNA is filed under the name Schistosoma margrebowiei. The record is from RNAcentral. Lineage: Eukaryota; Metazoa; Platyhelminthes; Trematoda; Strigeidida; Schistosomatidae.
GCACUGCUGAGGAGUCCAAUACUAGGAUGAAACGGCCGUCUAGUGC